CACCAGGUUGAUUCUGCCUGACGUGGACGCUAGUCUCAUAGAUUUAGCCAUGCAUGUGUAAGCGAACAAUAGGGAGCUGCGGACUGCUCAGUAACAGGCGAUUAAUUUAAUCUUUACAAACGGACAAACUCAGGAAACGGAGUGUAAUACGUAAAAGACGAAUUCUAAAAUAAAAAGAAAACGUUUUUAGCUUGAAUAAAGCGGUAAAGAAUAAGACGCCAACCCAUCAGUUAGUAAGUAGGGUAAGGGCCUAUUUAGACGAAUACGGGUACGGGGAAUUAGGGUUUGAUUCCGGAGAGGGAGCCUGAGAGACGGCUACCAGGUCCAAGGACGGCAGCAGGCGCGAAAAUUACCGAAGCUCAAAUAGAGGCGGUAGUAAUGAGACGUAAAAAAAUAAUAUAAGGGUAAAAAACUUAUUAAUAACUGGAGGUCAAGUCUGGUGCCAGCAUCCGCGGUAAUACCAGCUCCAGGGGUGUCUAUGAUGAUUGCUGCGAUUAAAAGGUCCGUAGUCGAAUUUAGAUAAUUGUUUGUAAUAUGUUAGAUAAAAUAAUAAAAAGAACAAUUAGUUAAAUGAAAGGAAUAGCAAGAGGUUGAUUAAUCGAGUAACGAGAGGUGAAAUUUGAUGACUUACUUGGGAGAAACAGAGGCGAAAGCGUCCAUC
RNAcentral lists this ribosomal RNA (661 nucleotides) under Microsporidium sp. BALB1 VIC3. Its description in RNAcentral is "SSU rRNA". It matches the Rfam family "Microsporidia small subunit ribosomal RNA", at positions 1 to 612 of the family's 1311-position model. The record is from RNAcentral. Lineage: Eukaryota; Fungi; Microsporidia.